GCCGGGCGUGGUGGCGCACGUCUUUAAUCCCAGCACUUGGGAGGCAGAGGCAGGCAGAUUUCUGAGUUCGAGGCCAGCCUGGUCUACAAAGUGAGUUCCAGGACAGUCAGGACUACACAGAGAAACCCUGUCUCGAAAAACAAAACACAAAACAAAACAAAAAACCAAAUGAAUCUUUUUGUUUGUUCUUUUGAGACAGGGUUUCUCUGUGUAGCUCUGACUGUCCUGGAACUCACUCUGUAGAGCAGGCUGGUCUCAAACUCACAGAGAUUCUCCUGCCUCU
RNAcentral lists this signal recognition particle RNA (283 nucleotides) under Mus caroli (Ryukyu mouse). Its description in RNAcentral is "predicted gene, 24809 (MGP_CAROLIEiJ_G0008908.1)". It matches the Rfam family "Metazoan signal recognition particle RNA". From Rfam's summary of the family: The signal recognition particle (SRP) is a universally conserved ribonucleoprotein. It is involved in the co-translational targeting of proteins to membranes. The eukaryotic SRP consists of a 300-nucleotide 7S RNA and six proteins: SRPs 72, 68, 54, 19, 14, and 9. Lineage: Eukaryota; Metazoa; Chordata; Mammalia; Rodentia; Muridae. The record is from RNAcentral.